Molecule: ribosomal RNA, 554 nt
Filed under: uncultured bacterium
Lineage: Bacteria
Description: bacterial SSU rRNA
Rfam family: Bacterial small subunit ribosomal RNA
Source: RNAcentral
AAUAGAUACCCGGGUAGUCCACGCCGUAAACGGUGGGCACUAGGUGUGGGCGACAUUCCACGUCGUCCGUGCCGCAGCUAACGCAUUAAGUGCCCCGCCUGGGGAGUACGGCCGCAAGGCUAAAACUCAAAGGAAUUGACGGGGGGCCCGCACAAGCGGCGGAGCAUGUGGCUUAAUUCGACGCAACGCGAAGAACCUUACCAAGGCUUGACAUACACCGGAAAACCCUGGAGACAGGGUCCCCCUUGUGGUCGGUGUACAGGUGGUGCAUGGCUGUCGUCAGCUCGUGUCGUGAGAUGUUGGGUUAAGUCCCGCAACGAGCGCAACCCUUGUCCCGUGUUGCCAGCAGGCCCUUGUGGUGCUGGGGACUCACGGGAGACCGCCGGGGUCAACUCGGAGGAAGGUGGGGACGACGUCAAGGUCAGUCAUGCCCCUUAUGUCUUGGGCUGCGACACGUGCUACAAUGGCCGGUACAAUGAGCUGCGAUACCGCGAGGUGGAGCGAAUCUCGAAAAAGCCGGUCUCAGUUCGGAUUGGGGUCUGCAACUCGACCCG